UGGGGAAUUUUGCACAAUGGGGGAAACCCUGAUGCAGCGACGCCGCGUGAUUUAGAAGGCCUUCGGGUUGUAAAAAUCUUUUCUAUGGGAAGAAAAUGACAGUACCAUAGGAAUAAGGACCGGCUAAUUACGUGCCAGCAGCCGCGGUAAUACGUAAGGUCCGAGCGGUGUUCGGAAUCAUUGGGCGUAAAGGGUACGUAGGCGGGUAAGCAAGUUAGAAGUGAAAUCCUAUAGCUCAACUAUAGUAAGCUUUUAAAACUGCUCUUCUUGAGGUAUGGAAGGGAAAGUGGAGUUCCUAGUGUGGCGGUGAAAUGCGCAUAUAUUAGGAGGAAUACCGGUGGCGAGGGCGACUUUCUGGCCAUAACCUGACGCUGAGGUACGAAAGCGUGGGUAGCAAACAGA
This 402-nucleotide ribosomal RNA is filed under the name bacterium. RNAcentral describes it as "partial 16S ribosomal RNA". It matches the Rfam family "Bacterial small subunit ribosomal RNA", at positions 355 to 776 of the family's 1533-position model. The record is from RNAcentral.